Molecule: ribosomal RNA, 373 nt
Filed under: uncultured bacterium
Lineage: Bacteria
Description: bacterial SSU rRNA
Rfam family: Bacterial small subunit ribosomal RNA
Source: RNAcentral
ACACGUAGGGGGCAAGCGUUGUCCGGAAUUACUGGGCGUAAAGGGUGCGUAGGCGGCCAAAUAAGUCAGAUGUGAAAGUCCAGGGCUUAACCGUGGAAUCGCAUUUGAAACUGUAUGGCUUGAGUGCAGGAGAGGAGAGCGGAAUUCCUAGUGUAGUGGUGAAAUGCGUAGAUAUUAGGAAGAACACCAGCGGCAAAGGCGGCUCUCUGGACUGUAACUGACGCUGAGGCACGAAAGCGUGGGGAGCGAACAGGAUUAGAUACCCUGGUAGUCCACGCCGUAAACGAUGAGUGCUAGGUGUCGGGAGUCAAAUCUCGGUGCCGGCGCAAACGCAAUAGGCACUCCGCCUGGGGAGUACGGUCGCAAGACUUAA